GUCGUAACAAGGUCUCCGUAGGUGAACCUGCGGAGGGAUCAUUACACAAAUAUGAAGGCGGGCUGGAACCUCUCGGGGUUACAGCCUUGCUGAAUUACUCACCCUUGUCUUUUGCGUACUUCUUGUUUCCUUGGUGGGUUCGCCCACCACUAGGACAAACAUAAACCUUUUGUAAUUGCAAUCAGCGUCAGUAACAAAUUAAUAAUUACAACUUUCAACAACGGAUCUCUUGGUUCUGGCAUCGAUGAAGAACGCAGCGAAAUGCGAUAAGUAGUGUGAAUUGCAGAAUUCAGUGAAUCAUCGAAUCUUUGAACGCACAUUGCGCCCUUUGGUAUUCCAAAGGGCAUGCCUGUUCGAGCGUCAUUUGUACCCUCAAGCUUUGCUUGGUGUUGGGCGUCUUGUCUCUAGCUUUGCUGGAGACUCGCCUUAAAGUAAUUGGCAGCCGGCCUACUGGUUUCGGAGCGCAGCACAAGUCGCACUCUCUAUCAGCAAAGGUCUAGCAUCCAUUAAGCCUUUUUUUCAACUUUUGACCUCGGAUCAGGUAGGGAUACCCGCUGAACUUAAGCAUAUCA
Molecule: ribosomal RNA, 572 nt
Filed under: uncultured fungus
Lineage: Eukaryota; Fungi
Description: eukaryotic LSU rRNA
Rfam family: 5.8S ribosomal RNA (bases 210-363)
Source: RNAcentral